Molecule: ribosomal RNA, 253 nt
Filed under: uncultured bacterium
Lineage: Bacteria
Description: partial 16S ribosomal RNA
Rfam family: Bacterial small subunit ribosomal RNA
Source: RNAcentral
UACGUAGGGGGCGAGCGUUGUCCGGAUUUAUUGGGCGUAAAGAGCGUGUAGGCGGCCAGGUAGGUCCGUUGUGAAAACUCGAGGCUCAACCUCGAGACGUCGAUGGAAACCAUCUGGCUAGAGUCCGGAAGAGGAGAGUGGAAUUCCUGGUGUAGCGGUGAAAUGCGCAGAUAUCAGGAGGAACACCGGUGGCGAAGGCGGAUCUCUGGGCCUUACCUGACGCUGAGGCGCGAAAGCUAGGGGAGCGAACAGG